AAUUGUGUCAAUAUAAAGUUGUGACAAGUCCUUGUAGCAUACACUUGUUUCGUUUACUGAUGCAAUUGGUGAGGUUAACUUUUCUACUUCACUUCUUUGGCCCAAUUCCAGAAAAAUCGGCCUAACAAAGAUUAAAUAGAAUAAGCUUUAGCCCAUCUCAAAUGGCCCAUCCCCUUUUUAGCUCACGGCUGAGAGCAGCCCUUCAGCCUUAACACCUUCCUCCGAUCCCCAAACUCCGUCCGCUCUCUUUUCUACCGAAAUCCGCCGCCGCGGUCCCAAAAUUCUGGCGAGGUGCGCCUCAUCUGUCAUCUCUUCUCUCUCAGUCGCACACAAUCGAGGGGUUGGUUGAGCCCUAGUUCUCUCGGCUCGGGCGAAAUCGCCGUCGUCGCCGGGUCUCGCUCGCCGCGCCGUUGCGCCGUCUCAUCUCUUUUGACGAAGACGAAGCCACCACUGUUUUGGAUCGAUGCCGCUGCGUCCUUCUCGACAGGGAAUCACCACGCCGUCGUUGCUAUUCCAGAAAUCUGCGACGGUCGCCGCUGAGGAGUCGUCCGCCUUUCGCCGCUUGACGCCGUCGACCCUAGGCUCCACGAGGCGCUACUGCUCUGUCUCCGCCGCGACCUUCUAAUUCUGGCGGCAUCGCCACCUAUUGCAUGCGUUUCCCCACUCAGUUCUCUAGGCUCGGAUGAGCGGCGAAGCUUUCGCCGCCGUCAUCCUCUUCGGCUUGACGGAGCAAGGCAGUCGCCCCUCCUAUUCAAACUCCGUUUAAAAGUAACAGGGAAUUACUGAAAAGGAGUGGAGGAAGUUCAAGUAAAGACUUACCUCUUUAAAGCUCAAAUUGGAGUUGAAGGAAUCCCUCUCCCUUUCUCAGUCGAGUGUUAGAACAAAAUCAAGAAAAUGAGGAUUUUUGUUGGCUGAUGUUUUAAGGAUGGAGUGGGUGGCUAUGCUCAAGUAUCUGCACCUCCAAAGGGGUUAGAGGGGAUGGCCUAGGUAUAGGGUGUGGCUGAUUGACCUUGUGUUGUAUCUUUAGCAACUAAAAGAUAGGAUUUCGGGCAUGGCAAAUUCAGAUUUGAAAAGAAAUGAGCUGUUGUUGUACCUUGCGUGUCUUAUGCAAUAUGUGGACUUGUAAUCUAUAUAUUAUAUGAAAAUGCAGUUUUAAUACUUUUUUGACACCAAA
Molecule: long non-coding RNA, 1174 nt
Organism: Salvia miltiorrhiza (redroot sage)
Lineage: Eukaryota; Viridiplantae; Streptophyta; Magnoliopsida; Lamiales; Lamiaceae
Exons: 2
Source: RefSeq, a predicted model, not a curated record